AAAACACCAGGACGCCCCAGACGGGACGUGAAAAGUGGACAUGUCCGGGCAAAAGAGGACGUUUGGUCAGCCUAAAUACUUUUGUCCGACGUGAAACUGCGACGCCAUUAGCCGCUGUGGAUCCACUGCGGAGGAAGCUACUGCGGAGGACGCUACUGCUAACUAAUGUGUCAAGGCCAAAUGAGGUGGAAGCUCUGCUUUGUUCACACUCCUCUCCUGAACAAAUGAGAUAACAGCGACGAAACCAACACGAUUCAGCACUCAGGAUUUCACCUUCAAGGGCCGCUGCAAGCAUCCAAAUAUUCACAUGCAGUCUGCCAGAAGUGAGUAA
This is a long non-coding RNA of Epinephelus fuscoguttatus (brown-marbled grouper), 331 nucleotides long. RefSeq lists it as uncharacterized. The transcript is spliced from 3 exons. Lineage: Eukaryota; Metazoa; Chordata; Actinopteri; Perciformes; Serranidae. The record is from RefSeq and is a predicted model, not a curated record.